Molecule: ribosomal RNA, 371 nt
Filed under: uncultured prokaryote
Description: partial 16S ribosomal RNA
Source: RNAcentral
GACUGAGCUUUCUCGCCAAAUGACGACUUCUACCACAUCUAUUGACAUUAUGGGUCUGCAAGCUGCUUAUGCUAAUUUGCAUACUGACCAAGAACGUGAUUACUUCAUGCAGCGUUACCAUGAUGUUAUUUCUUCAUUUGGAGGUAAAACCUCUUAUGACGCUGACAACCGUCCUUUACUUGUCAUGCGCUCUAAUCUCUGGGCAUCUGGCUAUGAUGUUGAUGGAACUGACCAAACGUCGUUAGGCCAGUUUUCUGGUCGUGUUCAACAGACCUAUAAACAUUCUGUGCCGCGUUUCUUUGUUCCUGAGCAUGGCACUAUGUUUACUCUUGCGCUUGUUCGUUUUCCGCCUACUGCGACUAAAGAGAUUC